RNAcentral lists this long non-coding RNA (227 nucleotides) under Vigna radiata. RNAcentral's name for it is "long non-coding RNA (VRAD_LNC002079)". Lineage: Eukaryota; Viridiplantae; Streptophyta; Magnoliopsida; Fabales; Fabaceae. The record is from RNAcentral.
GGGUAAGUUCCUAGAGGGAGAAUUAUAAAUCCUUAACAGUGACAAAGGUUAGUGGAGAAUAGAGAGAUAAAAUAGUAAGUGACAAAAAAACAAAGAAAUGGUAAGCGUGGGCUUAAAUUAUGUUUCCUGGUGCUUUCCCUCACGGAAGAUGUGUUUAAUCCUACCUCAUAUUGUGACAAAGUGACUAAUCCUACCUCAAAUUAUAACAAAGAGGAACAUGUGUUUAA